RNAcentral lists this ribosomal RNA (384 nucleotides) under uncultured bacterium. Its description in RNAcentral is "bacterial SSU rRNA". It matches the Rfam family "Bacterial small subunit ribosomal RNA", at positions 30 to 416 of the family's 1533-position model. The record is from RNAcentral.
AUUGAACGCUGGCGGCAUGCCUUACACAUGCAAGUCGAACGGCAGCACGGGGCAACCUGGUGGCGAGUGGCGAACGGGUGAGUAAUGCAUCGGAACGUGCCAUUGAGUGGGGGAUAACGUAGCGAAAGUUGCGCUAAUACCGCAUAUUCUGUGAGUAGGAAAGCAGGGGACCGCAAGGCCUUGCGCUCUUUGAGCGGCCGAUGUCAGAUUAGCUAGUUGGUGAGGUAACGGCUUACCAAGGCGACGAUCUGUAGCGGGUCUGAGAGGAUGAUCCGCCACACUGGAACUGAGACACGGUCCAGACUCCUACGGGAGGCAGCAGUGGGGAAUUUUGGACAAUGGGGGCAACCCUGAUCCAGCCAUGCCGCGUGAGUGAAGAAGGCC